Molecule: ribosomal RNA, 658 nt
Filed under: uncultured bacterium
Lineage: Bacteria
Description: bacterial SSU rRNA
Rfam family: Bacterial small subunit ribosomal RNA
Source: RNAcentral
GUAAAGCGCGCGCAGGCGGCCUUUUAAGUUGGAUGUGAAAGCCUAUGGACAACCAUAGAACUGCAUCCAAAACUAUCAGGCUAGAGUGUGGGAGAGGAAGAUGGAAUUAGUUGUGUAGGGGUAAAAUCCGUAGAGAUAACUAGGAAUACCAAAAGCGAAGGCAAUCUUCUGGAACAUUACUGACGCUGAGGCGCGAAAGCGUGGGGAGCAAACAGGAUUAGAUACCCUGGUAGUCCACGCCCUAAACGAUGAAUGUUAGUCGUCGGGUAGCUAGUCUAUUCGGUGAUGCAGCUAACGCAUUAAACAUUCCGCCUGGGGAGUACGGUCGCAAGAUUAAAACUCAAAGGAAUAGACGGGGACCCGCACAAGUGGUGGAGCAUGUGGUUUAAUUCGAAGAUACGCGAAGAACCUUACCUAGCCUUGACAUAUUUAAGAACACUUUAGAGAUAGAGUGGUGCCUUCGGGAGCUUUUAUACAGGUGCUGCACGGCUGUCGUCAGCUCGUGUCGUGAGAUGUUGGGUUAAGUCCCGCAACGAGCGCAACCCUCGUCACUAGUUACUAACGGUUCGGCCGAGGACUCUAGUGAGACUGCCUUCGCAAGGAGGAGGAAGGUGAGGACGACGUCAAGUCAUCAUGGCCCUUACGGCUAGGGCAACAC